GACGAACGCUGGCGGCGUGCCUAAUACAUGCAAGUAGAACGCUGAAGAGAGGAGCUUGCUCUUCUUGGAUGAGUUGCGAACGGGUGAGUAACGCGUAGGUAACCUGCCUUGUAGCGGGGGAUAACUAUUGGAAACGAUAGCUAAUACCGCAUAACAAUGGAUGACACAUGUCAUUUAUUUGAAAGGGGCAAUUGCUCCACUACAAGAUGGACCUGCGUUGUAUUAGCUAGUAGGUGAGGUAACGGCUCACCUAGGCGACGAUACAUAGCCGACCUGAGAGGGUGAUCGGCCACACUGGGACUGAGACACGGCCCAGACUCCUACGGGAGGCAGCAGUAGGGAAUCUUCGGCAAUGGGGGCAACCCUGACCGAGCAACGCCGCGUGAGUGAAGAAGGUUUUCGGAUCGUAAAGCUCUGUUGUAAGUCAAGAACGAGUGUGAGAGUGGAAAGUUCACACUGUGACGGUAGCUUACCAGAAAGGACGGCU
Molecule: ribosomal RNA, 487 nt
Filed under: Streptococcus sp. oral taxon C65
Lineage: Bacteria; Bacillati; Bacillota; Bacilli; Lactobacillales; Streptococcaceae
Description: bacterial SSU rRNA
Rfam family: Bacterial small subunit ribosomal RNA
Source: RNAcentral